Molecule: ribosomal RNA, 497 nt
Filed under: uncultured bacterium
Lineage: Bacteria
Description: partial 16S ribosomal RNA
Rfam family: Bacterial small subunit ribosomal RNA
Source: RNAcentral
GAUGAACGCUGGCGGCGUGCCUAAUACAUGCAAGUCGAGCGAACGGACGAGAAGCUUGCUUCUCUGAUGUUAGCGGCGGACGGGUGAGUAACACGUGGAUAACCUACCUAUAAGACUGGGAUAACUUCGGGAAACCGGAGCUAAUACCGGAUAAUAUUUUGAACCGCAUGGUUCAAAAGUGAAAGACGGUCUUGCUGUCACUUAUAGAUGGAUCCGCGCUGCAUUAGCUAGUUGGUAAGGUAACGGCUUACCAAGGCAACGAUGCAUAGCCGACCUGAGAGGGUGAUCGGCCACACUGGAACUGAGACACGGUCCAGACUCCUACGGGAGGCAGCAGUAGGGAAUCUUCCGCAAUGGGCGAAAGCCUGACGGAGCAACGCCGCGUGAGUGAUGAAGGUCUUCGGAUCGUAAAACUCUGUUAUUAGGGAAGAACAAUUGUGUAAGUAACUGUGCACAUCUUGACGGUACCUAAUCAGAAAGCCACGGCUAACUACGUG